ACGUUUAAAGCUGGACCGACGAUUGGGCAGCACAAUCAUUCCCCUACUCCCUGGGUGCUUAAUUGCAAUACAAUGUUCCAGGAACUAAAGAGGAGGGCUUCAGAGGAGAGUAUUCCUCUGAAUGCCAUAUAUGAGGAAGAAGCUGCCAGAUAUCCGGAUGCUGCAUCUCACCUGCUCUACGAGAGUGUGCUGCCAUCGAUGCGGAAGUGGAGGAGAAACUCACAGCCGGCUCAGCCACUCACCUUGGAGGAAUAUGCGGUGGCCUAAUAAGGCUUGUUAAGUCCUGUUCUUUUCGCCACUGUGUCGGUGGCGGAAGGAAAAGCUGUCAUAUUAGUCAUGCGCGGUUUCGAACGUUGCAUCGCUGACAGUGAAGUGCUAGUCAUCGAUGGAACAUUCCUGACUGUCCCAGCUGGAUUGUCAAUUUGCCAAAUUUUAACGGUACACAGUAUAAUUGCUGGACACAAUUUUCAUCCUGCUGUAGUCCUGAUGCAGAACCGUCCUCUGUAUGAGGCAGUUUUCCUUAGAAUUUGGCAAGCAGCUGGCAAUCCAAGACCACAACAAAUUAUAACAGAUUAGAGAGUGCAAACGAGCAGAUUGUUGGACGUAGGCGUUGAGGCUGUUGUAGAUAACGUCCCAGAAUUCGCUCAAGAAGUUGUCAUUGCAGACAACAUUGAGCAGGUAGCACCGGAGGUGGUCCAGGCUCCUAUUCUGGAACCCGCCGAUGUCCUGCCCGCGUCUCCCCCCCGCCACGAUAAUGAUCGCGAACCUCAACCCCUUCGUUGCAACAUCUGUGCGACUAACCCACUCGAAGUGGUGUUGAUCCCAUGCGGUCACACGCAAUGCCAAACUUGUCUGGACCGUUUGUUUGAAUUAAAUUAUGUAAUUUGCCCAGUCUGUCGCUCUAAUGUUCAAUUUUCGAAUCGAAUUUUUUUUAAGAAAUGAGGGGAGCGACUAGAUACUUGUAAUGGGUAUUGUAAAUAUAGCUUGUAAACCUUUUACAAGUAUGUUAGAGAUAAAUUUUAUUUUCAUUUAAUUUAAAUUAAUUAUUAAGAGAUACUAAACUCGGAUUCGAGAAUGGAAGUGAAUAGUC
Long non-coding RNA from Papilio machaon (common yellow swallowtail), 1090 nucleotides. RefSeq lists it as uncharacterized. The transcript is spliced from 3 exons. NCBI's taxonomy places the organism in Eukaryota, Metazoa, Arthropoda, Insecta, Lepidoptera, Papilionidae. The record is from RefSeq and is a predicted model, not a curated record.